CUUCUCUGGCUUUGAAAGCUAAGCAGGGUUAGGCCUCGUUAGUACUUGGAGGGGAGACCUCAAGGGAAUACCAGGUC
Molecule: ribosomal RNA, 77 nt
Filed under: Notechis scutatus (mainland tiger snake)
Lineage: Eukaryota; Metazoa; Chordata; Lepidosauria; Squamata; Elapidae
Source: RNAcentral